GAGGGUAUAGCUCAGUGGUAGAGAGUGAGCUUAGCAUGCAUGAGGUCCUGGGUUCAAUUCCCAGUAUCUCCA
RNAcentral lists this transfer RNA (72 nucleotides) under Camelus bactrianus (Bactrian camel). It matches the Rfam family "tRNA". Rfam says of the family: Transfer RNA (tRNA) molecules are approximately 80 nucleotides in length. Their secondary structure includes four short double-helical elements and three loops (D, anti-codon, and T loops). The record is from Rfam by way of RNAcentral. Lineage: Eukaryota; Metazoa; Chordata; Mammalia; Artiodactyla; Camelidae. RNAcentral also lists the same sequence under 2 other names.